Molecule: ribosomal RNA, 430 nt
Filed under: Acrapex sp. ACASG8350
Lineage: Eukaryota; Metazoa; Arthropoda; Insecta; Lepidoptera; Noctuidae
Description: partial 16S large subunit ribosomal RNA
Source: RNAcentral
UUGAAGGGCUGCAGUAUUUUGACUGUACAAAGGUAGCAUAAUCAUUAGUCAUUUAAUUGAUGACUUGUAUGAAGGAUUGGAUGAAAUAUAUACUGUCUCUUAAUUAAAUAUAGAAUUUAAUUUUUUAAUUAAAAAGUUAAAAUAAUUUAAAAAGACGAGAAGACCCUAUAGAGUUUUAUAAAUAAUUUAAUUGAGAUUAUUUUAUAUAAAUAAAAUUAAAAUUAAAAUAUUUAUUUUAUUGGGGUGAUAGAAAAAUAUAUAUAACUUUUUUUUUAUAAUUAGAACAUUUAUAAGUGGUUAAAUGAUCCAAUAUUAUUGAUUAUAAGAAAAAUUACCUUAGGGAUAACAGCGUAAUUUUUUUUUUUAGUUCAUAUAAGAAAAAGAGUUUGCGACCUCGAUGUUGGAUUAAGAUAAAAUUUAAAUGUAGAAG